Molecule: unclassified non-coding RNA, 2537 nt
Filed under: Leishmania donovani
Lineage: Eukaryota; Euglenozoa; Kinetoplastea; Trypanosomatida; Trypanosomatidae
Description: gene:LdHU3.36.8960(CDS-product:hypothetical_prote in_conserved)
Source: RNAcentral
ACAGUGACUCAUGCUCACUGAUCCCCCCCCUUACACGUACAAGCCGCACCCGCUUCCGCACACAGCGUAGACUUCAUUGAAAACGGCGCUGAAUGGUGCUUAUCGCGUUGUCUUGUAGUCUCCACGUGAGCUCUUAUUAGUGUGCAUGUGCCUUUCCCGGGGGGGGGGUGCUGGACCUUUUGACUGUGCAGCCAGCUACUGAUAUCUGCAUCAGUAGCGGGGAAAGGUCCAAUAGCACCCGCGCCCCGCCCUUACACGGACGCAUACACAUCCACGCGCCUCCGUGAAGGGGCACUCAUAGAUCAAUUCAGCAUUCACAGGGCACGAAGCGGGCUGAGGCCUUGUGCUUAUCAGGUACCUUUUGUUUGGCAGAGACGAUGAGUUCUGCGCUGCAACCCUCGCCGCCUGCGCUGCAGCGGUCGAAACUCGGCGUGAGCGGCACAACAUCCGACGAUAGUACCCACAACGGUCAGCUGGAGACGUUUCUGCGCGAGCGGCUCGAGAACUGGGAUAAAGAGGCCGCCGAAGUCAUCAUGGUGUGGGGCCGAUUGGGUGGCAUGUGCUCAUCUGAGUAUCAGUCGCAGCUACGCAAGGCGCGAACAACUUUGAGCGAGACGAACAAAAAGGAGAAGCGGCGCGACACGUCGGCGCUGCAGGCGCGCGAUGAUUCGAAGACAGAUGGCCAUCAGAGCCAUCGCGAUCGCCUUGCCGCUGAAUACUGGGCUCGUACGCAGGCAAAGCUGAAUGCCGCUCAACAGCAGCGUGGCCGGCAGCUUCGCCGCCAGCAGCGGCUGCAAGCAAACGGGCAGGCACCUGUCAGCCUCUCCUCUGUGUCUCAGCGCACGCCACCGGUGUUCUCUGGGCAAGUGCAUACCUUGAGAGCCGCGUCGACCUCCGUUUCGCCGCGGCUAACGGCUGCGCGGGGCCAGUACGUGCCUCUCACACCAGCACCUCCCACCAGUCCUCCUUGCAGCUCCAGACGCGCCAGCGGAGGCGGCGUCGCGCAGCGUGGGGCGCCAAGCGUGCGCAAGGUGAAGCAAAAGGCAAGGAACAGCGAAGACAUCCAUAAGCACAAGGAGCUCACUGCCCCUCUGAAUGAGCGUCGCGACUUCACUCUCUCCGGUGCCGGCAGCGAGGGCAGUGACGGCAGCAGCAGUCUGAUCCUCUCGACAACAGACGAAGAGCAAGUCAGUGCGGUAGCGUCAACUCCCACCGCGGCAACGUCGCAGCCCAGCAGCUCUUUCUCCGGCACCUUCAUUGUGCGACGGCGGCUGAGUGUGCACGGCCAACCCUCCUCCUCUUCCACAGUCGCGUUCCAACACACAGUUCAACGAAGUCAUUCAAUGACAAGCAGCCCACGGUCAGUCGCUCCACCUCCGCCGCAGCCGGCUCACCAAACUUGUCAGCGCAGUUCUUCGACUACCUCCGACGCGACGCAAGAGGACCGUGCCGAUGGCAAGGUGAACGCGCCGUCAUCUGUUUCUACGGUCGACCCGUCGCUGCCGUUUCACUCACGCACGGUGACGGCCAUCUUUACCUACAGCUCGCGCUCGCGUGAAAAGACGUCGGGGCCGCGCCGACGACGCAGCACUCAAGAGCGACGCCACGACAACUCCGCGCACACGGAGCAACCUCGCGGUGAACCAGAUGCGGAAGCGCAGGAAAGCGCCUCAAACGCUCCGUCGCAGACCGUCUCCCCCAUCAAAAAAGAUUCACACGCAGAUGAUCUUUCUUCCGUCUCCUCGGCAGCUUCGUACCUGAAUCGAGGUGUUCUCGAAGAGGAGUGAGUUGCGAACCGCCUUCGUUUCCUUCAUCGGUGUUUAUCGUCUCCCUCACGACUCCACCCAGUCCUCCUUGUUCCAUUGAUGGCAUGUUUUGAGGGGUGCCGCAGCUGUGCUUCGAUGAUCUGCUGAAGUGUAUAACGAAAGAAAGAGACAGACUUUGGCGGAAGCGCCGGAAAUAAGUGCGUCUGCACCCUGUACACGGUGUGGAAAUCUGUUCCCUAAUGGACGGUGCUGCCGAUGCGCCACCGUCGUCACCAGCAGCACGACCAGCGUGGACUCUGCGUCGCGACGCCCUUUCGCAGCUGCUUCUUUCGCUGCCUAGCACGCACCCGACUCGCUGUUUGCACCUGUCACCGCCUCCUUCAUCCCGCGGCUUGACCUUGGCGCACACGCCGGCGCUCCUCCUCUGUCCUCACGGCGGUCCCUCUCCCCCUCUUGACACGGCAUCAGCAGCCCAACGCACCACUGCGCCACCCCUGCAAAAAAAAAAAAACGACACAAAAGUAAGAGUUGUCUUUCUUUUUUUUUCAUCGCCUCUUCACACCUUCCGGAUUGCGUUCCCGCCGUCCUCUCAACCGUCGAUGCUGUUCGGCACACUGGCGAAUACAAAUCCCUCGCACUUUAGGUACGUUCAGAGUCAUCACUCUGUGCAUCGGGGCGCCACUACGUCGAUGGUUGUUUGCCCUUUUUCCCCCACGUUUCUACCUCACCCUCUCCUACCGUCUACUCCCACGCGUCGAUAAGCACCGUAAG